GACGAACGCUGGCGGCGUGCUUAACACAUGCAAGUCGAACGGAAAGGCCCAGCUUGCUGGGUGCCCGAGUGGCGAACGGGUGAGUAACACGUGGGUGAUCUGCCCCUAACUUCGGGAUAAGCUUGGGAAACUGGGUCUAAUACCGGAUAGGACAAUCGUUUAGUGUCGGUUGUGGAAAGUUUUUUCGGUUAGGGAUGAGCCCGCGGCCUAUCAGCUUGUUGGUGGGGUAAUGGCCUACCAAGGCGUCGACGGGUAGCCGGCCUGAGAGGGUGGACGGCCACAUUGGGACUGAGAUACGGCCCAGACUCCUACGGGAGGCAGCAGUGGGGAAUAUUGCACAAUGGGCGCAAGCCUGAUGCAGCGACGCCGCGUGGGGGAUGACGGCCUUCGGGUUGUAAACCUCUUUCGACAGGGACGAAGCUUUGGUGACGGUACCUGUAUAAGAAGCACCGGCUAACUACGUG
This 464-nucleotide ribosomal RNA is filed under the name uncultured bacterium. RNAcentral's name for it is "partial 16S ribosomal RNA". It matches the Rfam family "Bacterial small subunit ribosomal RNA", at positions 28 to 507 of the family's 1533-position model. The record is from RNAcentral.